GGACAACAUCUCGAAAGGGAUGCUAAUACCGCAUACGUCCUACGGGAGAAAGCAGGGGAUCACUUGUGACCUUGCGCUAAUAGAUGAGCCUAAGUCGGAUUAGCUAGUUGGUGGGGUAAAGGCCUACCAAGGCGACGAUCUGUAGCGGGUCUGAGAGGAUGAUCCGCCACACUGGGACUGAGACACGGCCCAGACUCCUACGGGAGGCAGCAGUGGGGAAUAUUGGACAAUGGGGGGAACCCUGAUCCAGCCAUGCCGCGUGUGUGAAGAAGGCCUUAUGGUUGUAAAGCACUUUAAGCGAGGAGGAGGCUCUUUUGGUUAAUACCCAAUGAGUGGACGUUACUCGCAGAAUAAGCACCGGCUAACUCUGUGCCAGCAGCCGCGGUAAUACAGAGGGUGCAAGCGUUAAUCGGAUUUACUGGGCGUAAAGCGCGCGUAGGCGGCCAAUUAAGUCAAAUGUGAAAUCCCCGAGCUUAACUUGGGAAUUGCAUUCGAUACUGGUUGGCUAGAGUGUGGGAGAGGAUGGUAGAAUUCCAGGUGUAGCGGUGAAAUGCGUAGAGAUCUGGAGGAAUACCGAUGGCGAAGGCAGCCAUCUGGCCUAACACUGACGCUGAGUGCGAAAGCAUGGGGAGCAAACAGGAUUAGAUACCCUGGUAGUCCAUGCCGUAAACGAUGUCUACUAGCCGUUGGGGCCUUUGAGGCUUUAGUGGCGCAGCUAACGCGAUAAGUAGACCGCCUGGGGAGUAC
Molecule: ribosomal RNA, 747 nt
Filed under: Acinetobacter sp.
Lineage: Bacteria; Pseudomonadati; Pseudomonadota; Gammaproteobacteria; Moraxellales; Moraxellaceae
Description: bacterial SSU rRNA
Rfam family: Bacterial small subunit ribosomal RNA
Source: RNAcentral